ACUCAAAUGAAUUGACGGGGACCCGCACAAGCAGUGGAGUAUGUGGUUUAAUUCGAAGCAACGCGAAGAACCUUACCAGGUCUUGACAUCUGGAUGAAACCCUCAGAGAUGAGGGCCCCCUUCGGGGCAUCCAAGACAGGUGGUGCAUGGUUGUCGUCAGCUCGUGUCGUGAGAUGUUGGGUUAAGUCCCGCAACGAGCGCAACCCUUGAUCUUAGUUGCCAGCAUUGAGUUGGGCACUCUAGGAUGACUGCCGGUGACAAACCGGAGGAAGGCGGGGAUGACGUCAAAUCAUCAUGCCCCUUAUGACCUGGGCUACACACGUACUACAAUGGCCGGUACAACGGGGUGCGAAGGAGCGAUCCGGAGCGAAUCCUUAGAAGCCGGUCUCAGUUCGGAUUGCAGGCUGCAACUCGCCUGCAUGAAGUCGGAAUUGCUAGUAAUCGCGGAUCAGCAUGCCGCGGUGAAUACGUUCCCGGGUCUUGUACACACCGCCCGU
RNAcentral lists this ribosomal RNA (497 nucleotides) under uncultured bacterium. RNAcentral describes it as "partial 16S ribosomal RNA". It matches the Rfam family "Bacterial small subunit ribosomal RNA", at positions 899 to 1397 of the family's 1533-position model. The record is from RNAcentral.